GGUCGCUUAGCUCAGUUGGUUAGAGCGUGGUGCUAAUAACGCCAAGGUCGCGAGUUCGACCCUCGUAGUGAUCA
This 74-nucleotide transfer RNA is filed under the name Monilinia fructicola. It matches the Rfam family "tRNA". From Rfam's summary of the family: Transfer RNA (tRNA) molecules are approximately 80 nucleotides in length. Their secondary structure includes four short double-helical elements and three loops (D, anti-codon, and T loops). Further hydrogen bonds mediate the characteristic L-shaped molecular structure. tRNAs have two regions of fundamental functional importance: the anti-codon, which is responsible for specific mRNA codon recognition, and the 3' end, to which the tRNAs corresponding amino acid is attached (by aminoacyl-tRNA synthetases). tRNAs cope with the degeneracy of the genetic code in two manners: having more than one tRNA (with a specific anti-codon) for a particular amino acid; and 'wobble' base-pairing, i.e. permitting non-standard base-pairing at the 3rd anti-codon position. The record is from Rfam by way of RNAcentral. RNAcentral also lists the same sequence under 10 other names. Lineage: Eukaryota; Fungi; Ascomycota; Leotiomycetes; Helotiales; Sclerotiniaceae.